UACGGGAGGCAGCAGUAAGGAAUAUUGGUCAAUGGACGCAAGUCUGAACCAGCCAUGCCGCGUGGAGGAUUAAGGCCCUCUGGGUUGUAAACUCCUUUUAUCUGGGAAGAAAUCCAUGUAUUCUUAUAUGGUUGACGGUACCAGAGGAAUAAGCACCGGCUAACUCCGUGCCAGCAGCCGCGGUAAU
This 187-nucleotide ribosomal RNA is filed under the name uncultured Sphingobacteriales bacterium. RNAcentral describes it as "partial 16S ribosomal RNA". It matches the Rfam family "Bacterial small subunit ribosomal RNA", at positions 340 to 524 of the family's 1533-position model. Lineage: Bacteria; Pseudomonadati; Bacteroidota; Sphingobacteriia; Sphingobacteriales. The record is from RNAcentral.